This is a long non-coding RNA of Venturia canescens, 832 nucleotides long. RefSeq lists it as uncharacterized. The transcript has 3 exons. The record is from RefSeq and is a predicted model, not a curated record. Lineage: Eukaryota; Metazoa; Arthropoda; Insecta; Hymenoptera; Ichneumonidae.
GUUUUUUUCUUUAACAGUGUCUACCCAGUCGAUUUCGAGGUGUUCGAGUAUAAAUUUUUCAUUAAAACGACAUUCAAAGUUCUCGAACAUUCUGCACUGAUCUCGUGGGCGCUGCUCGAAUCAACGUUCAACUUGACUAUCAAUGUUGACACCGUGCAUACUCUGCCACUAAUAUUGGCCGUGUGUUCAAUCGCACCGAAUAGCACCUGCGCAGAAAUAUCUAGACGACGUCUCAUCGUACCAUCGGUAUAUACUUCCAAUACUGGAUGAGGACUGGCGAACAAUCAAUGUGCUAAUUGGCUUAUGCUGGUAAAUCUACACACAAAUGCAAUAACGACAGAGAGAUGGAGCGAGAACGAGGCGCACAACGUCCGCGGAACUUCCGAUGUUUCCUUGGGCACAAAGGGCGUGGAAAAGCGCGGAUGCUCGGGACAGUGCUAAUUUGAGCAGAGAGCAAAGAGAAUGCGGGCAGUGGCGACAGCAGCAGCGGCAUAUUAACUAAGCAGAACGCAUCAAGCGCUAAAUUCAAUCAAUAGACCUCGCGAGCUUUCAUACGAUAUGAAUGGAAUCUGUGAUGAUGUGACGUUCACAUGUAAUAAACAAACGAAGAGAUAAAUAUGUACAUUAAAUAAGCGCUUUAUGAAUUCGAUGCAUUAAAAAUAGAAUUCACAAUAAGAGCGAUUAGUAAUGAAAUAGCUUCGGCGUUGAAGUUUAUAAUCAGAUCGGAAAAAUUGAUCGACCAAAUUUUACGAAGUAUUCGAAGAAAAAAACUGGAAACAAGAAACAAAUUAGCCAACAUUGGGAUGUUUUUUUCGCAAUUGUUUUGUCGAAA